RNAcentral lists this ribosomal RNA (270 nucleotides) under Rhizonema sp. 'cyanobiont of Acantholichen galapagoensis'. Its description in RNAcentral is "partial 16S ribosomal RNA". It matches the Rfam family "Bacterial small subunit ribosomal RNA", at positions 28 to 327 of the family's 1533-position model. RNAcentral also lists the same sequence under 5 other names. The record is from RNAcentral. Lineage: Bacteria; Bacillati; Cyanobacteriota; Cyanophyceae; Nostocales; Rhizonemataceae.
GAUGAACGCUGGCGGUAUGCUUAACACAUGCAAGUCGAACGGUCUCUUCGGAGAUAGUGGCGGACGGGUGAGUAACGCGUGAGAAUCUGGCUCUAGGUCUGGGACAACCACUGGAAACGGUGGCUAAUACCGGGUGUGCCGAAAGGUGAAAGGUUAACUGCCUGGAGAUGAGCUCGCGUCUGAUUAGCUAGUUGGUAAGGUAAAAGCUUACCAAGGCGACGAUCAGUAGCUGGUCUGAGAGGACGAUCAGCCACACUGGGACUGAGACAC